UGGGGAAUAUUGCACAAUGGGCGCAAGCCUGAUGCAGCCAUGCCGCGUGUAUGAAGAAGGCCUUCGGGUUGUAAAGUACUUUCAGCGGGGAGGAAGGGAGUAAAGUUAAUACCUUUGCUCAUUGACGUUACCCGCAGAAGAAGCACCGGCUAACUCCGUGCCAGCAGCCGCGGUAAUACGGAGGGUGCAAGCGUUAAUCGGAAUUACUGGGCGUAAAGCGCACGCAGGCGGUUUGUUAAGUCAGAUGUGAAAUCCCCGGGCUCAACCCGGGAACUGCAUCUGAUACUGGCAAGCUUGAGUCUUGUAGAGGGGGGUAGAAUUCCAGGUGUAGCGGUGAAAUGCGUAGAGAUCUGGAGGAAUACCGGUGGCGAAGGCGGCCCCCUGGACGAAGACUGACGCUCAGGUGCGAAAGCGUGGGGAGCAAACAGG
Molecule: ribosomal RNA, 429 nt
Filed under: Chloroflexota bacterium
Lineage: Bacteria; Bacillati; Chloroflexota
Description: Chloroflexi bacterium partial 16S ribosomal RNA
Rfam family: Bacterial small subunit ribosomal RNA
Source: RNAcentral